Molecule: ribosomal RNA, 450 nt
Filed under: uncultured bacterium
Lineage: Bacteria
Description: partial 16S ribosomal RNA
Rfam family: Bacterial small subunit ribosomal RNA
Source: RNAcentral
GUGGGGAAUCUUCCGCAAUGGACGAAAGUCUGACGGAGCAACGCCGCGUGAGUGAUGUAGGUCUUCGGAUUGUAAAGCUCUGUUAAUCGGGACGAAAGAGCCUAGUGUGAAUAAUGCUAGGAAGUGACGGUACCGGAAUAGAAAGCCACGGCUAACUACGUGCCAGCAGCCGCGGUAAUACGUAGGUGGCAAGCGUUGUCCGGAAUUAUUGGGCGUAAAGCGCGCGCAGGCGGAUCUGCCAGUCUGUCUUAAAAGUUCGGGGCUUAACCCCGUGAUGGGAUGGAAACUACAGAUCUAGAGUAUCGGAGAGGAAAGUGGAAUUCCUAGUGUAGCGGUGAAAUGCGUAGAUAUUAGGAAGAACACCAGUGGCGAAGGCGACUUUCUGGACGAAAACUGACGCUGAGGCGCGAAAGCCAGGGGAGCGAACGGGAUUAGAAACCCUUGUAGUCC